Molecule: long non-coding RNA, 792 nt
Filed under: Cimex lectularius (bed bug)
Lineage: Eukaryota; Metazoa; Arthropoda; Insecta; Hemiptera; Cimicidae
Description: uncharacterized LOC106667788, transcript variant X1
Source: RNAcentral
AAAUUUCAAAAGCUUGAAGAGAGAAGUUGUAGCACAUACCAAACAAAUGAGGCGAUUUAGAACGGGAUGGACACCGUUUAUACGGUUGCCCGCCCUGCUAUUGGAAGGUGACGAAAGCCGGAGUCCGUCCUUCUCAUCCAGGGUCACCGACCGGCUGGGUCCGCCUGGUCCUUUCUCAUAGAAUUGUGUCCUGAUUGAGCUCAUAGGGAGGGCAGUUAGCGCCCUCCUUUACCGGCGCCCGGACAUAGCCUAGAAGUAGAAUAGAUUACUGGAAGGACUUCGGUUUUCACGGAGUCCUUCCUUCUCAUCCAGGGUCACCGACCGGCUGGGUCGGCCUGGUCCUUUCUCAUAGAAUUGUGUCCUGAUUGAGCUCAUGGGGAGGGCAGUUAGCGCCCUCCUUUUCCGGCACCCGGACAUAGCCUAGAAGUAGAAUAGACUACUGGAAGGACUCCGGUUCUCACGGGGUCCUUCCUUCUCAUCCAAGGUCACCGACCGGCUGGGCCGCCUGGUCCUUUCUCAUAGAAUUGUGUCCUGAUUGAGCUCGUAGGGAGGGCAGUUAGCGCCCUCCUUUUCCGGCGCCCGGACUUAGCCUAGGACUAGAAUAGAUUACGGGAAGGACUCCGAUUCUCGCGGAGUCUUUCCUUUGGGUCAUUUCGUCAGGUCGUUAGUAUUAGCAACCACACAUUUGAAAUUUCUAGUAAAAAAUAUAUUUUGGUAAACAGGAAUGAAAAUGGAAAUAUCAAAAUCAGAAAUGCAUCACAUAAAAAUUCCUAAAUAUAGAUGUUCAUUUAC